ACAAGGUCAGGAGUUUGAAACCACCAGCCCAUUCUUGGGAGAAAGACAGGCUUUUCUGCUCCUUAAAAAGUUACAGUCUCUGCCCCGUGAUGUACAGUCCUUUUCUACAACGUCGGAAAUCAAGCUGUGCCUGGAGCCUGCGUCUGUAUAUUCCUAUAGCUUCUCAGAGUCCUGUGCGCAAUGCCUGAGGAGACAAACCAGGCAGGGAACAGGU
Molecule: small nucleolar RNA, 214 nt
Filed under: Echinops telfairi (small Madagascar hedgehog)
Lineage: Eukaryota; Metazoa; Chordata; Mammalia; Afrosoricida; Tenrecidae
Description: Small nucleolar RNA SNORA73 family (ENSETEG00000026034.1)
Rfam family: Small nucleolar RNA SNORA73 family
About the family: U17 (SNORA73A and SNORA73B) also known as E1 belongs to the H/ACA class of small nucleolar RNAs (snoRNAs). Vertebrate U17 is intron-encoded and ranges in length from 200-230 nucleotides, longer than most snoRNAs.
Source: RNAcentral